Molecule: non-coding RNA, 324 nt
Organism: Paramuricea clavata
Lineage: Eukaryota; Metazoa; Cnidaria; Anthozoa; Malacalcyonacea; Plexauridae
Source: the annotation of a GenBank genome assembly
AUAUUGGCUGAUCGCAUUAUUAAUCCGCACCCCCCCUAUUGAGGACAUGUGGAAUUUCCAAUGCCCCCCUGCAAAAGUGAACCAAAAAUGAAGGAAUUUCCAUGGGAGGGUCCAAAUUUUAAAGCAAAUCUGCGGAAAUUCCAAAGGGUAGGUAAGAAAAAUGAGUAAAACGUAUGGAAUUUCCAUGGGAGGGUCAACAAUGGAAAAGAAAUUCCAAAGGAUAGGAUAAAAAUCAGCAAGGAAUUUUCCAAGGGAUAGCUACUAAUCAAAGAAUCAAUACGGAAUUUCCACUGGCUAGAUGAAAAACUGUCAAGGAAUUUCCAU